RNAcentral lists this long non-coding RNA (214 nucleotides) under Medicago truncatula (barrel medic). RNAcentral's name for it is "long non-coding RNA (MTRU_LNC002463)". Lineage: Eukaryota; Viridiplantae; Streptophyta; Magnoliopsida; Fabales; Fabaceae. The record is from RNAcentral.
CUAGGUCAUGAAUUUUGAGAUAUUGGCCGUCGUCCGCCCUUAAUUAAUAUCUAACCAAAUAAAUAAAUACAAAAAUAUUCAACCAAAACUUCUUUAUAUUCAACACAAAAAAUAUAUGUAAUGAAAAAUAACUAAAAAAGACAACAAAAAAAAUCAUUAAAUACUUAUAUGUUGCUACUUGUUUAUAUUAAGUGUCUCAUUUGACGGCUUUACA